AAUGAACGCUGGCGGCAGGCCUAACACAUGCAAGUCGAGCGGCCGCACAGGGAGCGCCCGCUCUUGAGGGUGGCGCGUGGCGGACGGGUGACGCAUCCAUCGGAUACCACUUUGACGGGGAGAAUAACGUCGGAAAAGCUCUGAUAAUAGAGAAUAUGUCGUACCGGAUGGUGCAGGAGUUCUUCGGGGUUUGGGCGUUUGUAAUAGCCGAUGUCGCAUUAGCUAGUUGGCGGGGUAAAGGCCCACCAAGGCGACGAUGCGUAGCCGAUCUGACAGGGUGAUCAGCCACACUGGAACUGAGACACGGUCCAGACUCCUACGGGAGGCAGCAGUAGGGAAUCUUGGGCGAUGGGCGAAAGCCUGAUCCAGCAAUACCGCGUGAGUGAUGAAGGCCUUCGGGUUGUAAAGCCCUGUUGUUGGGAAAGAAAAAAAGCAUAUUUAUCUCCGGAUGUUCUGACGGUACCCAAAGAAGAAGCCCCGGCUAACUUCGUG
RNAcentral lists this ribosomal RNA (492 nucleotides) under uncultured bacterium. RNAcentral's name for it is "partial 16S ribosomal RNA". It matches the Rfam family "Bacterial small subunit ribosomal RNA", at positions 29 to 507 of the family's 1533-position model. The record is from RNAcentral.